This 994-nucleotide ribosomal RNA is filed under the name uncultured bacterium. RNAcentral describes it as "bacterial SSU rRNA". It matches the Rfam family "Bacterial small subunit ribosomal RNA", at positions 1 to 987 of the family's 1533-position model. The record is from RNAcentral.
AUUCGCCCUUAGAGUUUGAUCCUGGCUCAGGACGAACGCUGGCGGCGUGCUUAACACAUGCAAGUCGAGCGAGGAUAUGCUGGAGAGCUUCGGCAGGAAGGGAUAUUCGAGCGGCGGACGGGUGAGUAACGCGUGAGCAAUCUGUCCCAUACAGGGGGAUACCACUUGGAAACAGGUGCUAAUACCGCAUAAGACCACGGUAUCGCAUGGUACUGAGGUAAAAGAGAAAUCGGUAUGGGGUGAGCUCGCGUCCCAUUAGAUAGUUGGUGAGGUAACGGCCCACCAAGUCAACGAUGGGUAGCCGACCUGAGAGGGUGAUCGGCCACAUUGGAACUGAGACACGGUCCAGACUCCUACGGGAGGCAGCAGUGGGGAAUAUUGGGCAAUGGGCGCAAGCCUGACCCAGCAACGCCGCGUGAAGGAAGAAGGUUUUCGGAUUGUAAACUUCUGUCCUUGAUGACGAAGGAAGUGACGGUAAUCAAGGAGGAAGCCCCGGCUAACUACGUGCCAGCAGCCGCGGUAAUACGUAGGGGGCGAGCGUUGUCCGGAAUGACUGGGCGUAAAGGGCGUGUAGGCGGCCUGAUAAGUCUGGAGUGAAAGUCCUGCUUUCAAGGUGGGAAUUGCUUUGGAGACUGUCGGGCUUGAGUGCGGAAGAGGUAAGUGGAAUUCCCAGUGUAGCGGUGAAAUGCGUAGAGAUUGGGAGGAACACCAGUGGCGAAGGGGGACUUACUGGGCCGUAACUGACGCUGAGGGCGCGAAAGCAUGGGGAAGCGAACAGGAUUAGCUUCACCUGGUAGUCCACGCAGAAAACGAUUAAUGCUAGAGUGUUGAGAGGAUCGACCCCCGCAGUGCUGGAGUCAACACAAUAAGCAUUCCCGCCUGGGGAGUACGGCUUCAAGGUUGAAACUCAAAGGAAUUGACGGGGGCCCGCACAAGCAGCGGAGCAUGUUGUUUAAUUGGAAGCAACGCGAAGAACCUUGCCAGGUCUAGACAU